This 185-nucleotide unclassified non-coding RNA is filed under the name uncultured Capnodiales. RNAcentral describes it as "sequence contains ITS2". Lineage: Eukaryota; Fungi; Ascomycota; Dothideomycetes; Capnodiales. The record is from RNAcentral.
AACAAAACUCCAGCCUGGCUGGGUAUUGAGCCUUGGAUAAGAGUUCGGGCUUCAAAUGCGUCGGCUAUAAAUUAGUAAAUGGGGAGUGCUGUAGCAUGGUGCCGCGAAUAUCGACAAAUAUACGCUGGCGCGAAGUUUGUAAACCCCUGCCUUGCGCGUUCGCAUCGGUGACUCGGACCGAACAA